RNAcentral lists this ribosomal RNA (271 nucleotides) under uncultured Bacillus sp. RNAcentral's name for it is "partial 16S ribosomal RNA". It matches the Rfam family "Bacterial small subunit ribosomal RNA", at positions 505 to 775 of the family's 1533-position model. Lineage: Bacteria; Bacillati; Bacillota; Bacilli; Caryophanales; Bacillaceae. The record is from RNAcentral.
GUGCCAGCCGCCGCGGUAAUACGUAGGUGGCAAGCGUUGUCCGGAAUUAUUGGGCGUAAAGCGCGCGCAGGCGGUCCUUUAAGUCUGAUGUGAAAGCCCACGGCUCAACCGUGGAGGGUCAUUGGAAACUGGGGGACUUGAGUGCAGAAGAGGAAAGCGGAAUUCCACGUGUAGCGGUGAAAUGCGUAGAGAUGUGGAGGAACACCAGUGGCGAAGGCGGCUUUCUGGUCUGUAACUGACGCUGAGGCGCGAAAGCGUGGGGAGCAAACAG